CUUUACUCCAGAAGCCGAAUGAAAACGAUCCGGCUUUUCAUACAUACAAAAACCAGACAGAUGGCAGUGCGCAAGCAAGAUCAUCUGGAGCUCGCGUUCCAAGCUUCUCUCUCUCUCUCUUCGUCGUUUCUUCUCGGAGAAGAUUGUGUGGUGACGAAACAUGGUGGAGGGGGAGUCCCUUAUUGCGAAAGAUGUCACUGAGAUAAUUGGCAAGACGCCCCUGGUGUACCUCAACCGUGUGGUGGAGGGUUGUGUUGCCCGAAUCGCUGCGAAGCUCGAAAUGAUGGAGCCCUGCUCAGGUGUCAAAGACAGGAUUGCGUAUAGAAUGAUUGCAGAUGCUGAGGAAAAGGGUCUGAUUAAGCCGGGAGAGAAUGUUCUGACUGAGCCUACUAGUGGUAGCACCGGAAUAGGGCUGGCAUUCAUGGCUGCUGCUAAGGGUUAUAAACUUAUAAUUACCAUGCCUGCUUCAAUGAGUCUUGAAACAAGAACCAUUCUCCGUGCUUUUGGAGCUGAUCUGGUCCUCACAGAUCCAGCCAGGGGCAUGAAAGGCGCUGUUAAAAAGGCUGAAGAGAUAGUGGAAAGAAUACCCAAUGCAUACAUGCUUCAUCAAUUUGAGAACCCUGCCAAUCCCAAGAUCCAUUAUGAAACGACUGGACCAGAGAUCUGGAAAGGUUCGGGAGGCAAAGUUGAUGCCCUCGUUUCUGGGAUAGGAACUGGAGGUACAAUAACAGGAGCAGGAAAAUAUCUCAAGGAGCAGAACCCUAAGAUCAAGCUCUAUGCUGUAGAACCUGCGGAAUGUGCAGUAUUAUCGGGUGGCAAACCUGGUCCGCAUAAAAUACAAGGCAUUGGUGCUGGCUUCAUCCCUGGAGUGCUAGAUGUGAAUUUACUUGAUGAAGUUAUUCAAGUAAGUUUUUAUCCGUACAAGGGGACAAAUUUGUGCUAUUUUCUUUCUGUUUUCUGGUUCUGCCAUCAUGUUCAAUUAUCCUCAUUCCUAAAUUUCAUAACAUCCAUGCUGUUGCACAAGGGAAAAAGGACUAAACAUGCGAACAGAAAGUCUGCUCUCUUGCUGAUAUCCAUCCUACUACCUGAUAGAUCAUCAUUUGUAUUCAACAAAAUGACGACAACUCUUCAAUUGCACAUGCCUUUUACGAUUUGCAUACUGUUAGCCAAUGAUCUUUGCGUUGUAAAUGUGGUUCCUAUCAAGUAAUUCACAUUGGCUAUUACAGGAUUCUCUUUCUGACUUUGCAGGUAUCAAGUGAAGAAGCUAUUAAAACUGCCAAGCUGCUUGCAGUGAAGGAGGCUUUGCUGGUAAAGAGAUUUGUCUAUCAUUAGGCAUUGAGACUUCAGAACCCCACCCCAGGAAACAAUGCGCACACUGGCUAAUAUCCAUUUUUAAGUUAUUUCUUGAAACAUGACAUGAUCGUGGCACUUCAGAGUUCUCUGCUGCGUGCUUUUGAAGUGGCUUCUUUGUGAUUUUAUCUUUUUCGCUUGCAGGUCGGAAUAUCGUCGGGUGCAGCUGCUGCAGCUGCAAUUAAUAUUGCAAAGAGGCCAGAAAAUUCUGGAAAGCUCAUUGUGGUGGUCUUCCCGAGCUUUGGAGAGCGCUACUUGUCUUCUGAGCUGUUUCAAUCAGUGAAGCAGGAGGCA
Eucalyptus grandis is the source of this 1644-nucleotide RNA transcript. It is a transcript of the gene named cysteine synthase-like, with no coding region annotated. NCBI's taxonomy places the organism in Eukaryota, Viridiplantae, Streptophyta, Magnoliopsida, Myrtales, Myrtaceae. The record is from RefSeq and is a predicted model, not a curated record. The transcript is spliced from 9 exons.